RNAcentral lists this long non-coding RNA (3729 nucleotides) under Sus scrofa (pig). Its description in RNAcentral is "lncRNA (ENSSSCG00050040651.1)". Lineage: Eukaryota; Metazoa; Chordata; Mammalia; Artiodactyla; Suidae. The record is from RNAcentral.
AUUCAGAAAGAACUUCAAAUGUUCUCCAGUUUGUUAUUUGCCAAACCCUGUACAUCCCAAAGGCCCUGGGAGGGGGUCCUCUCCACCAUGUGCAUGAACGUGGGAGAGAUGGUACCUUGGCCUGGGAGCUCACACAGAUUCAGGGUCUCAGAAAGCCCAGAAGAUACCCCUUUGAUUCUUCUGUCGUUCAGUGUCGUAGUCUGCACAUGAGGGUUGGAAGAAGAAUUUCCUGAUCUAAAGCGAGGAAACGUCCUGGACCAGGCCCACCUGUCAAUGGAUGUGGGAGGAAGGAAUGAACACAUUCCCUUCGGAGUCUGACCAGAACCAGGAAAUGCUUGACGUUUGUUACUCCCUCCCCUUUCAGAAGAAAAGAAAAGAAAAAAAAAAAUAAGAAGAAAAGAAGCCUGAGAACUAACUUUGUCAAGACGGUUCUUUGGGACAGGAGUCCACCCUCUACUCCAUCUGCCAGCUUUCUGAGUAAUGUUGCUAUUCCUUCCCCGGCAACUUAUCUCUUGCUUCAUUGGCCUGUCCCUGAGGCGAGCAGUAGGACCUUCUAACGAUGGGAGGGAAAAUUCCACAAAUAGACACAUAGAAGAAGGUAAGAAGAACAGUUUCACUUUACCCAUACCCCUGGCCCGUUAUGCUACCCAUGCCAAGAGAAAUGCCCUCAGCCCAUGACUUUUCCACAGGGAAGGGUAAAAACCUAGUGAGUAGGUGUCCAGCUUCCCCAGCUAUGUAGGAGUGACCUGUGCUGAUCACUCCCAGAACGCUGAGUGAUCAGCACAGGUGAGAGGUUGGGAGACAGCAACUCGGGUUCCGAAACAUCGAAGGGCCAUGGAUACUGAAUUUUGUCAAGGACUUUUCUGCACUAUUAAGAACAGGAGUUCCCAUUGUGGCUCAGUAGGUUAAGAACCCAACUAGUAUCCAUGAGGAUGUGGGUUCUAUCCCUGGCCUCGCUCAGUGGGUUACAGAUCUGGUGCUGCCUUGAGGUGUGGUUUAGAUUUCAGAUGCAGCUCUGAUCCAACCCCUAGCCUGGAACUUCCAUAUGCUGCAGGUGUGGCCCUUAAAAAAAAAAAAAAAGGAAAAUGAUAACAUUCUCUUCCUUAUUCUCUUUGAAAAAGAAAAUUGCCCUGACUUUUCAAAUGUUGAAGCAACUUUACAAUUUUGGGAGUUCCCGUUGUGUCUCAGUGGUUAACGAAUCUGACUAGCAACCAUGAGGUUUUGGGUUUGAUCCCUGGCCUUGCUUGGUGGGUUAAGGAUCCGGCAUUGUCUUGAGCUGUGGUGUAGGUCGCAGAUGCGGCUUGGAUCCCUCGUUGCUGUGGCUGUGGCGUAGGCCAGUGGCUACAGCUCUGAUUAGACCCCUAGCCUGGGAACCUCCAUAUGCUGUGGGUGUGGCCCUAGAAAAGACAAAAACAAAAAACAAAAAAGCUUUACAAUUUUGGGAUAAGCGUAACUUUGUUGGAAAAAAAUAAUAAUGCCACCAACUUUCUGGGUUAUUAUGAAUAGGCUUAGCAUAAUAACUGGCAUACAGUAAGUGCUCAAUAAAUGUCUUCAGCCAUUAUUUAUUAUAUGCUUUGGAGAAAGACUGAGCUAUGAGCCUCAAUUUUCCAGCAAAAGCUUGCUGAUGUGUCUGUCCUUUGAAUCCUUGGGGAAAGGUAAGGGAGUGAUCUGUGGCCAGCCAACUCCUCAACAUAAUUUUUUCAAUGAAUAUAUUUUUGCAAAUAUGGCUAGCUCUUAAGCAUGAAAUAGGCAUUGUCACCAGUUAAUGCUGAGGACACUGUGAGGUGUAGAGACAUGUAUCAUUUUAUAAACCCCGAUUUCUCCUUGUAAGCAGAAUUACAUGCUAAGUACUGCCCACGGAGUAGCUUUAGACAGUUUUCCCACCUAACAGCUCUUUGCUGCCCACAUAUUUACACCUGCCAUUAUUUGGGACCCAAACAAAUAGAUUUAUAUUACUUUGACAUGUUAAAAGCCACCAAGUAAUAACUAAGAAAUCUUUUAAGGUAGAAAUUUGUCAGAAGUUUUUAGAUACAAAGUCUGCCAUCUAGUGGCAUGAAUGAUUAGUGCAGGCACAGCCAAACACGUUCUAAGGAAAAAAUGGGAACUAAUAUGUAUUAAAAGCCUACUGUGUGCCAAGCAUUGCAAUAAGCAGUUUAUUUCUUUACAUCUUUCAGUCUCCUCGAGUAUUCCUGUUACGCAUAUGUCACUGCUGUAACUCAUCUUCACUAGCGGAGGAUGAAAAGCAAAAGAAACUUCUCCUAAAUUUAUUUGUAGGUAGAAGAGAGAGAAAGCAAGAGAGGGAUCCAGAAUUAGGGAGCUGAAAGACUCAGAGAUGUGAGCCUCUUUUUCCAUGACCAUGUACCUUAUGUGAAUGAACAGAUAUAAACGUCGUCUGGGGAGUUCCCGCUGUGGUGCACGGGGAGUAGCAGUGUCUCUGCAGUGGCAGGGUGCCGUUUUGAUCCUGGUGCUGGCACAAGUGUGUUAAAGGGUUCGGCAUUGCUACAGCAGCAGUGUAGGGCAGAGCUGCAGCUUGGAUCUGACCCCUGGCUCAGGAACUCCAUGUGCCAUGAGGUACCAAAAAAAAAAAAAANAAGCAGAAGAAAACAAAAAUGUUGUCUGAAACUUAAGAAUUUCACCAAGUGUGAGUCUAAUGGUGAUGGUUAUGUAAUAGGUUCUUGAGGACAGAGGCCAUAUCAUAUAUGAUCAUAUCCUUUAACCUCCUCCCUUGAGGCUCCGCAAGCCAGGGGUGGGUUUUCUCCUCAUCCUUCUCUCACUGAAAAUCAUUCAUUCUUUGACCAACUUCCACUUCCAGCUGUAGCUCAAAUGAAAUGGCUUUCCCCAGAGAGAACAGCACUUUUUUUUUUUUUGGUCUUUUUGCCUUUUCUUGGGCUGCUCCCAUGGCAUAUGGAGGUUCCCAGGCUAGGGGUCUAAUCAGAGCUGUAGCCGCCUGCCUACACCAGAGCCACAACAACACGGGAUCUGAGCCACAUCUGCAACCUACACCACAGCUCACAGCAACGCCGGAUCCUUAACCCACUGAGCAAGGCCAGGGAUCAAACCCACAACCUCAUGUUCCUAGUCGGAUUCAUCAACCACUGAACCACGACAGGAACUCCCAGCACUUAACGUUUUAGAAGAACUUUUUUGCGGAAUUUCUCCCCAACCAGACUCACUCUGGUGGCUCAGUGGGUUAAAGACCUGACACUGUCUCUGAGAUUAUGAGGCCUCCUUCAUUUCAUGCUGUUCCUGUCAAGGUGAUUAUAGAAUCAAGACCUAAUUUUUCCAGCUUCUCAGGUUAAACUAAUUGACUUGGGUUUUUUUUUUUUUUCUUCUUCUUCUUUGCUUUAAUUUGCCCUUUGAAAAUACCUUAAAAAAAAAAAUCUAUGCUCCGAAGAUUUAGUCAAAGGAAUCUAUGAUCCUGGUUCCCAACUUACAUAUUAAAUUAACCAGAUUUCUUGGAUAAGAAAUGACAAAUGGGAGUUUUUGUUGUGGCUCAGUGGGGUACGAACCCAAGUAGGAACCAUGAGGAUGUGGGUUCCAUCCCUGGCCUUGCUCAGUGGGUUAAGGAUCAGGUGUCACUGUGAGCUGUGGUGUGGCUUACAGAUGUGGCUCAGAUCCCUCAUUGCUGUGGCUGUGGUGUAGACUGGCAGCUCUAGCUCUGAUUUGAUUUGACCCACAGCCUGGGAACUUCCAUAUGCUGCGAGUNAAAAAAAAAAAAAAAAAAAAAAA